GAUGAACGCUGGCGGCGUGCUUAACACAUGCAAGUCGAACGAAGCACUUUAUUUGAUUUCCUUCGGGACUGAUUAUUUUGUGACUGAGUGGCGGACGGGUGAGUAACGCGUGGGUAACCUGCCUUGUACAGGGGGAUAACAGUUGGAAACGGCUGCUAAUACCGCAUAAGCGCACAGCAUCGCAUGAUGCAGUGUGAAAAACUCCGGUGGUAUAAGAUGGACCCGCGUUGGAUUAGCUAGUUGGUGAGGUAACGGCCCACCAAGGCGACGAUCCAUAGCCGACCUGAGAGGGUGACCGGCCACAUUGGGACUGAGACACGGCCCAAACUCCUACGGGAGGCAGCAGUGGGGAAUAUUGCACAAUGGGCGAAAGCCUGAUGCAGCGACGCCGCGUGAGCGAAGAAGUAUUUCGGUAUGUAAAGCUCUAUCAGCAGGGAAGAUAGUGACGGUACCUGACUAAGAAGCACCGGCUAAAUACGUG
This 481-nucleotide ribosomal RNA is filed under the name uncultured bacterium. RNAcentral's name for it is "partial 16S ribosomal RNA". It matches the Rfam family "Bacterial small subunit ribosomal RNA", at positions 28 to 507 of the family's 1533-position model. The record is from RNAcentral.